Molecule: long non-coding RNA, 837 nt
Filed under: Volvox carteri
Lineage: Eukaryota; Viridiplantae; Chlorophyta; Chlorophyceae; Chlamydomonadales; Volvocaceae
Description: long non-coding RNA (VCAR_LNC000504)
Source: RNAcentral
UCUUAAUCGGCAAUAAUACUACACAUAAAUAAUUGAACUGUCAUUUCUAUGUCCACGGAUACAUAGCGGGAAAACAGUCACAAAUGCGCCGAACCAUUUUUUCGUCGUAUCGUCCCAGACAUCAUACGUCCCUUAUGAUUGCGGGGCAGCUUGUAAAUAGGAUCAUCAAUAAGAAAAUUGAUCACAAGAAAAUUGAUGAAUCGGUGUGGGAGCUAUCUUUACGAAGAUAUGAUGUUCGCGUACGUCCCUUUGACGUACUGUAGCAUAACAGAUCGCCACGACGGAACAUGCGCCAUAGGUGAUGUAAUAAUUUGAAGCCAGAAUCAUCAAAUAAAAACUGCGACUCUUGAAAUUGGCUUUUCGUAGUUUGUCCCAUGAAACUGCCGCUGCAGUUGCCUGCAGUACGGAGCGAACGCAAUGUCGCAGCUGCCACCCGUGUAAUACAACGAGUCGCAGAUCCAUGCAGAAACCAGCCUAUCCUCUUAAUCAAAAGCCCUGCUGAAAGGUCGUGUGUGCGUUGACGAAUCGAUGUAAGAUGCGCCGAAUUGCGAUAUGGGGUUGAGGAACUUGGUCACAAGGAAAAGAGACACCGCAGGAUGGUACGCGUACAGAACCGCCGGGAGCCGUUACGCCAAUGAGACAAUUUGUGCCUUCCGCGACGCGAUAAUGAUCGGGCCCGUCGUCGAGCGCCACGGCUACCACAGUGACAAAGCCGCAAGUUAAGAUUUUUGUGUCGGAACCGUCCUUUGCCAUAUAAGGCAUAUAUGGAAGAGAUCGUCUAGUAAGAGUAUCCCGACGGCAUUGGUCGGGCGGCGUGGCGGGAGGCUUGCAGCCGGG